RNAcentral lists this ribosomal RNA (459 nucleotides) under uncultured bacterium. Its description in RNAcentral is "partial 16S ribosomal RNA". It matches the Rfam family "Bacterial small subunit ribosomal RNA", at positions 338 to 795 of the family's 1533-position model. The record is from RNAcentral.
CCUACGGGUGGCAGCAGUGAGGAAUAUUGGUCAAUGGCCGCGAGGCUGAACCAGCCAAGCCGCGUGAGGGAAGAAGGUGCCAUGCAUUGUAAACUUCUUUUGUCAAGGGGCAAAAUCAGCCUCGCGUGCCUUACCGAGAGUACUCGAAGAAAAAGCAUCGGCUAACUCCGUGCCAGCAGCCGCGGUAAUACGGAGGAUGCGAGCGUUAUCCGGAUUUAUUGGGUUUAAAGGGUGCGUAGGCGGACGAUCAAGUCAGCGGUAAAAGUCAGGGGCUCAACCUCGUCGAGCCGUUGAAACUGGUUGUCUUGAGAGGGCGAGAGGUAUGCGGAAUGCGUAGUGUAGCGGUGAAAUGCUUAGAUAUCACGCAGAACUCCGAUUGCGAAGGCAGCAUACCGGCGCUGAACUGACGCUGAGGCACGAAAGUGUGGGUAUCGAACAGGAUUAGAUACCCUUGUAGUC